AUUGGUUAUUUAGAUAUUUUUAGGGUCAUAUACAUCAGAACCGAACUCAUCCAGACUCAAAAUGAUUCUAAUCAAAACCUACAUAUAAAUUUAUAAUAUUCAAGGAGUGAGUAAUUUUAAAACAAAAAAAAACGAUACCCAAAAGGAACAACUCGUACUUAAGUGGAUAUUUAGUGUUCAUGUCUAACUGAUUUUAUAAACUAAUAAAAAGACAUUUUCUAUGUGUUUUGCUAAAUUAAGUGAAAUAGAUAGAGUUUUUUUAUUUAGCAAGACAUUAUAUUGAGUGAAAUCGACGGUUCUUGAAUGGUUCCUACUCUCUCCAAGUCCAUUCGACGUUUUAUUUUUUGCAGAUAUCGCUGACGACGUCUACGAGAUUCUCCAUGAUUUGAAAUUUAUUUCUUCUCUGUGUUGUUGAUAAAGUUUUCUUCUUUUUGGUUUUUAUGAGUCUACAAAAGGAGAUGAUACUUUCUCUCUGUUGUUUCACUUUGUCUCUCUUUUUUUUUUUCCCUUUAUGUUUAGUUGUGUUGAUCCAUGUUUGAAUGGUUUGUACUUUCUUUCUUAUCUGUGUUGUUGAAUUGCUUGUUGAUACAAAAGUUUUGUUCUUUUUGGGUUUCUGUGUCCACAAAGGAGAUGGUACUGUCUCUGCUUGUCUCUAUUUUUGUUCAGUUGUGUUGAUGUGUUAGUGGUUUGUAUCUAUAUGUAGGAAGGGUAUGGGCCGGUCACAAUAUAUUGAGGGUUUGAUAUACCAAGGAUAAGAGAAGGGUUUGCAGAGAUUGGACGUGAUCCACCAGAGCCAAAAGGCACCAUUGACUCGUUGGUGUUUCUUACUCAAAAGAUUGGGAGGAGAGCUGGUGAUAUGAACUUGAUGGUAUUGCUGCACAUUGAAGACUGUCCUGAUAAAGAGCCUCUUCGCCAUGGGUUCUAUGCAGGCUCCACUAUGGCCACAAGGAUAACAAUACCAAAUUUCAUCACCAAGUUUAUCUGUUAUAUUUUGCAAUGAGUUUAUUAUUUGCAAUUUGGUUUUCGGUGUCCCAAGAAUACUAACUAUGAUAAUGAUACCCAUUUACAGAUUUUAUUUAUUUAUCAGAA
Long non-coding RNA from Brassica napus (rape), 1089 nucleotides. RefSeq lists it as uncharacterized. The record is from RefSeq and is a predicted model, not a curated record. The transcript is spliced from 2 exons. Lineage: Eukaryota; Viridiplantae; Streptophyta; Magnoliopsida; Brassicales; Brassicaceae.